UACGGAGGGUGCGAGCGUUAAUCGGAAUUACUGGGCGUAAAGGGUGCGUAGGCGGUUUGUUAAGUUAUUUGUGAAAACCCUGGGCUUAACCUAGGAAUUGCGAGUGAUACUGAUAGACUAGAAUAUAGGAGAGGGCAUUGGAAUUUCCGGUGUAGCGGUGAAAUGCGUAGAUAUCGGAAGGAACACCGGUGGCGAAGGCGGAUGCCUGGCCUAAUAUUGACGCUGAGGCACGAAAGCGUGGGUAGCGAAC
This 250-nucleotide ribosomal RNA is filed under the name uncultured prokaryote. RNAcentral describes it as "partial 16S ribosomal RNA". It matches the Rfam family "Bacterial small subunit ribosomal RNA", at positions 524 to 773 of the family's 1533-position model. The record is from RNAcentral.